This 468-nucleotide ribosomal RNA is filed under the name uncultured bacterium. RNAcentral's name for it is "partial 16S ribosomal RNA". It matches the Rfam family "Bacterial small subunit ribosomal RNA", at positions 28 to 507 of the family's 1533-position model. The record is from RNAcentral.
GACGAACGCUGGCGGCGUGCUUAACACAUGCAAGUCGAACGGAAAGGCCCUGCUUUUGUGGGGUGCUCGAGUGGCGAACGGGUGAGUAACACGUGAGUAACCUGCCCUUGACUUUGGGAUAACUUCAGGAAACUGGGGCUAAUACCGGAUAGGAGCUCCUGCUGCAUGGUGGGGGUUGGAAAGUUUCGGCGGUUGGGGAUGGACUCGCGGCUUAUCAGCUUGUUGGUGGGGUAGUGGCUUACCAAGGCUUUGACGGGUAGCCGGCCUGAGAGGGUGACCGGCAACAUUGGGCCUGAGAAACGCCCCAGACUCCAAGGGGGGGCGGAGGGGGGGAAUUUGGAAAAGGGGGGGGAAGCCGGUGGCACCACCGCCGGGGGGGGGAGACGGGCUUUGGGUUUGAAAACCUCUUCCGCCUGUGAAGAGGCUGGAGUGAGGUAAAGGGAUAAAGAAGACCCGGCUAACUACGUG